UCCUUCAUUAUCGGGUCAAACAUGUUUCCU
Molecule: non-coding RNA, 30 nt
Filed under: Mus musculus (house mouse)
Lineage: Eukaryota; Metazoa; Chordata; Mammalia; Rodentia; Muridae
Source: RNAcentral